This 95-nucleotide transfer RNA is filed under the name Biscogniauxia mediterranea. Its description in RNAcentral is "tRNA-Pro". RNAcentral also lists the same sequence under 1 other name. The record is from RNAcentral. Lineage: Eukaryota; Fungi; Ascomycota; Sordariomycetes; Xylariales; Xylariaceae.
GGCCUGUUGGUCUAGUCGUAUGAUUGUCGCUUCGGGUUUACCCUUCUACUAAACGUGGAUGUGACAGGUCCUGGGUUCAAUUCCCAGACAGGCCC